This 865-nucleotide ribosomal RNA is filed under the name Clohesyomyces symbioticus. Its description in RNAcentral is "SSU rRNA". It matches the Rfam family "Eukaryotic small subunit ribosomal RNA", at positions 102 to 976 of the family's 1831-position model. Lineage: Eukaryota; Fungi; Ascomycota; Dothideomycetes; Pleosporales; Lindgomycetaceae. The record is from RNAcentral.
UAAAUCAGUUAUCGUUUAUUUGAUAGUACCUUACUACUUGGAUAACCGUGGUAAUUCUAGAGCUAAUACAUGCUAAAAACCCCAACUUCGGGAGGGGUGUAUUUAUUAGAUAAAAAACCAAUGCCCUUCGGGGCUCUUUGGUGAUUCAUGAUAACUUAACGGAUCGCAUGGCCUUGCGCCGGCGACGGUUCAUUCAAAUUUCUGCCCUAUCAACUUUCGAUGGUAAGGUAUUGGCUUACCAUGGUUUCAACGGGUAACGGGGAAUUAGGGUUCGAUUCCGGAGAGGGAGCCUGAGAAACGGCUACCACAUCCAAGGAAGGCAGCAGGCGCGCAAAUUACCCAAUCCCGACACGGGGAGGUAGUGACAAUAAAUACUGAUACAGGGCUCUUUUGGGUCUUGUAAUUGGAAUGAGUACAAUUUAAACCCCUUAACGAGGAACAAUUGGAGGGCAAGUCUGGUGCCAGCAGCCGCGGUAAUUCCAGCUCCAAUAGCGUAUAUUAAAGUUGUUGCAGUUAAAAAGCUCGUAGUUGAAACUUGGGCCUGGCUGUCUGGUCCGCCUCACCGCGUGUACUGGUUCGGCCGGGCCUUUCCUUCUGGAGAGCCUCAUGCCCUUCACUGGGUGUGUUGGGGAACCAGGACUUUUACUUUGAAAAAAUUAGAGUGUUCAAAGCAGGCCUUUGCUCGAAUACGUUAGCAUGGAAUAAUAGAAUAGGACGUGCGAUCCUAUUUUGUUGGUUUCUAGGACCGCCGUAAUGAUUAAUAGGGAUAGUCGGGGGCAUCAGUAUUCAAUUGUCAGAGGUGAAAUUCUUGGAUUUAUUGAAGACUAACUACUGCGAAAGCAUUUGCCAAGGAUGUUUUCAUUAA